This is a long non-coding RNA of Haemorhous mexicanus (house finch), 195 nucleotides long. RefSeq lists it as uncharacterized. The record is from RefSeq and is a predicted model, not a curated record. The transcript has 3 exons. NCBI's taxonomy places the organism in Eukaryota, Metazoa, Chordata, Aves, Passeriformes, Fringillidae.
UGGGGUGGGCGUGGGGGGCUCAGUGCCCCGGGCAGCCCUGCCCCGCACCUGGCACAGAUGCUCACCUGUCCCUGUGUCCCCACGGGCCCGGGCGCCUCCCCGAGACCCCCCCAGGGCCCCCCCACAGACGUGGACGAGUGCUCUCUGUUCGGGCCCGCGCUCUGCCGGGGGGGGCUCUGCGUCAACGCCGCCCCC